AUUGAACGCUGGCGGCAUGCCUUACACAUGCAAGUCGAACGGCAGCACGGGAGCAAUCCUGGUGGCGAGUGGCGAACGGGUGAGUAAUAUAUCGGAACGUGCCCAGUAGUGGGGGAUAACUGCUCGAAAGAGCAGCUAAUACCGCAUACGACCUGAGGGUGAAAGGGGGGGAUCGCAAGACCUCUCGCUAUUGGAGCGGCCGAUAUCAGAUUAGCUAGUUGGUGGGGUAAAGGCCUACCAAGGCAACGAUCUGUAGUUGGUCUGAGAGGACGACCAGCCACACUGGGACUGAGACACGGCCCAGACUCCUACGGGAGGCAGCAGUGGGGAAUUUUGGACAAUGGGCGCAAGCCUGAUCCAGCAAUGCCGCGUGCAGGAAGAAGGCCUUUGGGUUGUAAACUGCUUUUGUCAGGGAAGAAAUCCUCUAGGUUAAUACCCUUGGGGGGAUGACGGUACCUGAAGAAUAAGCACCGGCUAACUACGUGCCAGCAGCCGCGGU
This 499-nucleotide ribosomal RNA is filed under the name uncultured bacterium. RNAcentral describes it as "bacterial SSU rRNA". It matches the Rfam family "Bacterial small subunit ribosomal RNA", at positions 30 to 521 of the family's 1533-position model. The record is from RNAcentral.